CAGAGGGUGCAAGCGUUGUUCGGAAUUAUUGGGCGUAAAGCGCGUGUAGGCGGCUUGGCAAGUCAGAUGUGAAAGCCCUCGGCUUAACCGAGGAAGUGCGUCUGAAACUGCUGAGCUUGAGUGUCGGAGAGGAUGGCGGAAUUCCGCAAGUAGAGGUGAAAUUCGUAGAUAUGCGGAGGAACACCGGUGGCGAAGGCGGCCAUCUGGACGACUACUGACGCUGAGACGCGAAAGCGUGGGGAGCAAACAGGAUUAGAUAUCCUGGUAGUCCACGCUGUAAACGAUGAGAACUAGGUGUCGUGGGUGUUGACCCCCGCGGUGCCGUAGCUAACGCAUUAAGUUCUCCGCCUGGGAAGUACGGCCGCAAGGCUA
RNAcentral lists this ribosomal RNA (372 nucleotides) under uncultured organism. RNAcentral's name for it is "bacterial SSU rRNA". It matches the Rfam family "Bacterial small subunit ribosomal RNA", at positions 526 to 896 of the family's 1533-position model. The record is from RNAcentral.